CUGGAUUAAUACCGCAUGUGAUCGCAAGAUCAAAGGAGGGGACCUUUCGGGGCCUUUCGCUUUUCGAGGAGCUCGCGGCCUAUCAGCUUGUCGGUGAGGUAAAAGCUCACCAAGGCAGUGACGGGUAGCUGGUCUGAGAGGAUGAUCAGCCACACUGGGACUGAGACACGGCCCAGACACCUACGGGUGGCAGCAGUCGAGAAUCAUUCGCAAUGGGGGCAACCCUGACGGUGCGACGCCGCGUGGAGGAUGAAGGCUUUCGGGUCGUAAACUCCUGUCACCACAGAACAAGACUACUGUGUUAAUACCACAAGAGUUUGAUGGUAUGUGGAGAGGAAGGUCCGGCUAACUCUGUGCCAGCAGCUGCGGUAAUACAGAGGGACCAAGCGUUGUUCGGAUUCACUGGGCGUAAAGCGUGUGUAGGGGGCUGGGAAAGUCGAAUGUGAAAUGCCAGAGCUCAACUUUGGAACUGCAUUCGAUACUGCUCGGCUAGAGGAUCGGAGGGGGAAACGGAAUUCCUGGUGUAGCGGUGAAAUGCGUAGAUAUCAGGAGGAACACCUGUGGCGAAGGCGGUUUCCUGGACGACUCCUGACCCUGAGACACGAAGGCUAGGGUAGCA
RNAcentral lists this ribosomal RNA (619 nucleotides) under uncultured bacterium. RNAcentral describes it as "bacterial SSU rRNA". It matches the Rfam family "Bacterial small subunit ribosomal RNA", at positions 158 to 770 of the family's 1533-position model. The record is from RNAcentral.